AGCAGCCGCGGUAAUUCCAGCUCCAAUAGCGUAUAUUAAAGUUGUUGCAGUUAAAAAGCUCGUAGUUGAACUUCAGGCCUGUCCAGAUGGUCCGCCUUAAUUGGUGUGUACUGUCCUUGGGUGGGUCCUACCUUCUGGCGAAGCGGCAUGGCCUUAGUUGGUUGUGUCGGGGAAGCAGGACUUUUACUGUGAAAAAUUAGAGUGUUCAAAGCAGGCAUAUAUGCUCGAAUACAUUAGCAUGGAAUAAUGGAAUAGGACGAUGGUUCUAUUUUGUUGGUUCUAGGACCGUUGUAAUGAUUAAUAGGGAUAGUUGGGGGCAUUAGUAUUCAAUUGUCAGAGGUGAAAUUCUUGGAUUUAUUGAAGACUAACUACUGCGAAAGCAUUUGCCAAGGAUGUUUUCAUUAAUCAAGAACGAAAGUUAGGGGAUCGAAGACGAUCAGAUACCGUCGUAGUCUUAACCAUAAACUAUGCCGACUAGGAAUCGGGCGAUGUUGACAAAA
RNAcentral lists this unclassified non-coding RNA (500 nucleotides) under uncultured Glomus. Its description in RNAcentral is "bacterial SSU rRNA". It matches the Rfam family "Eukaryotic small subunit ribosomal RNA", at positions 569 to 1071 of the family's 1831-position model. RNAcentral also lists the same sequence under 1 other name. The record is from RNAcentral. Lineage: Eukaryota; Fungi; Glomeromycota; Glomeromycetes; Glomerales; Glomeraceae.